This 786-nucleotide long non-coding RNA is filed under the name Heterocephalus glaber (naked mole-rat). RNAcentral's name for it is "lncRNA (ENSHGLG00100033182.1)". Lineage: Eukaryota; Metazoa; Chordata; Mammalia; Rodentia; Bathyergidae. The record is from RNAcentral.
AUCAAACUCAGGACCUUGUGCUUGCAAGGCAGGCAUGACGCCACUGAGCUAAAUCCUCAGCCAUAUUGCUCUUUUUAUUUUUUUACACUCUCACAUCAUUUCUUCUUUCAAAGCCCUAGCAAAUCUUUCCACCAAAGAACAGAGGACCAUCUCAUCAGGAAAUCGGGCCACAGAUGAGGAAUGAGGAACAUUGGCUGUGUCACCUUCUUAGCAUCUGCCCCAGGUUCGGAGAACUCCACUUCCUCGGGCUGCGAAAUAGAAAAGUGUUGUUACAAAGCAUCGUAGGAUCACAGUGCUGGAAGGUUCUACAGGUCUCAGACUGAUGCGCAUACUUCCUGAUGAAGGUAUGAAAACCCAGAGAGUGAUAUCACAGAGCUGGAUGAAGAAUCAGGAUGCUUUGACUAUCUGGCUGAUAUUCUGUGCAUCAUGUCAGACUCCUGGAGGAACAGGGCAAAGACUAGCAGAGGAAAACAUCAGACAAACAGGACAUUCUACAAAGUACCUGACCAAUAUUCUUCAAAAUUGUAGAGGUCAAAAAAGAAAAGGAAAACUGAAGAACUGUCACAGAGGGGACUAACGUGUUACGACAACUCAGUGCACCAUGGAACCCUGCCUAGAUUCUGGAAAAGGACAUUAGUGGAGAAAUUAGGGAACUCUACAUAAAGUCCAAGUUUAGCUAAUAGUGAUAUACCAAUGUUACUAUGGCAGUUAGAUAUCUUAUUGUAAGAGGCCAUCUUAAUGUAAGAUGAAAACUGUGGGAAACUGAAACUGGAAUUCUGUCCUGCC